Molecule: ribosomal RNA, 435 nt
Filed under: Salmonella enterica subsp. enterica serovar Oslo
Lineage: Bacteria; Pseudomonadati; Pseudomonadota; Gammaproteobacteria; Enterobacterales; Enterobacteriaceae
Description: partial 23S ribosomal RNA
Rfam family: Bacterial large subunit ribosomal RNA
Source: RNAcentral
GAGGCACUACGGAGCUGAAGCAACAUAUGCCCUGCUUCCAGGAAAAGCCUCUAAGCAUCAGGUAACAUCAAAUCGUUCCCCAAACCGACACAGGUGGUCAGGUAGAGAAUACCAAGGCGCUUGAGAGAACUCGGGUGAAGGAACUAGGCAAAAUGGUGCCGUAACUUCGGGAGAAGGCACGCUGACACGUAGGUGAAGUGAUUUACUCAUGGAGCUGAAGUCAGUCGAAGAUACCAGCUGGCUGCAACUGUUUAUUAAAAACACAGCACUGUGCAAACACGAAAGUGGACGUAUACGGUGUGACGCCUGCCCGGUGCCGGAAGGUUAAUUGAUGGGGUCAGCGCAAGCGAAGCUCCUGAUCGAAGCCCCGGUAAACGGCGGCCUUAACUAUAACGGUCCUAAGGUAGCGACAUUCCUUGUCUGUUAAGUUCAGAC